This 425-nucleotide long non-coding RNA is filed under the name Homo sapiens (human). RNAcentral describes it as "HSALNT0399675". Lineage: Eukaryota; Metazoa; Chordata; Mammalia; Primates; Hominidae. The record is from RNAcentral.
CCGAGGAGGAAAGAAUGGCAGUUCCACAUCAUGACUGUCAACUGAGCAUCUCAGCUAAGCCAUGUAACAGGUGAACUGGAAGUGUCUUUCCUGGUGGCUCCUUCUAAAAAUUGAAGGAUGAAUGUCAGAAGGACAGCUGAACUGUGAGCCCUGGGAUGAAGUCACCUACAGCCCUAAGACCUGAAAUGCACAUCUCAGCAGAAGCCUGACUGCAGCCGUUAUCCUUGCUGUGGAGAUGAACCAAAGGCCCAAGCGUGAGUGACUUCAAGAUGAAACUCAGGAGCUGAGGCUCAGUGUGGACAUUAAAUUUCCGAUGCCAGAUAAGAAAUCAAAUUCUAAUUCUUCACAAAAUUACUGUCUUCAAUUUCCGUUGGCAUAUCUAAGAAAUACUGGACUGUUACUAAUUGGCCCCUUAGCUCUGUGUC